Non-coding RNA from Camelina sativa (false flax), 1473 nucleotides. NCBI's taxonomy places the organism in Eukaryota, Viridiplantae, Streptophyta, Magnoliopsida, Brassicales, Brassicaceae. The record is from RefSeq and is a predicted model, not a curated record.
UUGGAGCAACCGAUACUCUGCCAAAUAAAAUAUUAAAAAAACUCUUCUCUCUCUGUCGAUGAAGCAUGGCGGAACCAAAUCAGAGCCAGAUUCAUGUUCAUACUCAUCCAUGUUCUAUAGCUAAGGUAUCAGAGCCAUAUUCUUUGAUUUCGUGGAAGACGGAGACAUUGCGAUUUGAACGAUUGGAGGAUUUGAAGCUUCUUUAUCAUCGCGACUUCAAGAAAAUAAAAUUAGAAGGUGUUGCGAUUCAAGGUAGAAAGAAGAAUUGAACUGCGACUGUUCUUGGAAGAAGACGUUGUAGUUAUAGAAAGAAGAUCCAAGGAGUAAGAUCUAAUCACAUCUAUUGGUUUCUGGUUUAUGAAAUCGAUGGAAGUAAGUUUACUCUUUCUCUCUCGUCUCAAGCUCGUAAGUUAGACAUCAAUGUAAGUUCUAGUUUAAGAAUUCACAAGGAAUGAUGUUGAAAUCACGAGGUUUAUGGUCUAUGUAGUUUAGAUCGAAGUACAUCGGUUUGGGGAACAAAGAUCAUCGAAAGAUUUGAUCGAUUGAGGUGGUUUCAGGAUUGAUAGAAUCCGUAAUCCUCUAAGUUAAUAUCCUCUACUGGAAAGUUCGUGUUAUCAAACGUGAAGCAAAUUUGUUGCAAGCAUAAGAAGUGAUAAGAUCAGAGACGAAGUCGAAGACGGUUGUUACAUGAAGGUGUUCUUGUAUAUGUUAAAAGAAAUCAGUUUGAGAAUGAUGUUGUGUGAAGGCUUUCAGAUAAAUAAUUCGACUCAGGUUCAAAGGUUCCUAAACAAGCUGAUAAGAAGAGUAGAAGUCAAUAAGGAGAUAACUGGAGAAUAAGGUCUGCUGAGGAGUUAUCUGGUGCUCAUCCUGCUGAAGUACAGAGCUUUGUGCUGGCAGAGUGGGAUGUAUCUUCGAAUCACAACACGCUUUUAGAUCCUCGAAAUGGAAAGCCUUUGUGAGCAGUUUGAGAAAGGAAGAGCCAUCAAAAUUAGUAGCUGCAACAAUUUCUUCACAAUCGCUGCCUUCUGAUAGCAAGAAAGAAGAAGUUACUCCUACUGAAGCAAGCACAAUUAGGUCGUCUCUCAACAGUUCCAAGGAUGCAGAGGUCAACAACAUGACGUAGAUGCCAGUAAUGCGACGACUGAGCAGAGAGUAAACAUGGAGAACGUUCCUCCUGGUUGCAUACCCAAACCACAACUAUAGUUUUCUCAAGGAGUCGAUGGACCUUAAGAAGCAACAAACUAGACUGAAGAAUCCAUCUGAACUUAGGCCAAAAAUCAUUCACAGAUUUUAUCAACUUUAUGCCAGAUGAGAUCCUGCCCCAUAUUCUCUGCUUUAUUGGCCAUGAAAACUUCUGUGAUAUGAUUUUCUUAUCAUCAUUUCUUCUUCUCAUUAUUUUUUCUUGUUAAAUUUUCAAACCCAUUUCCAUUACACAACAAAUUUCCAUUAAGACAAAUCUUCUUUUAAGUUCUC